GACGUAGGGCGCGAGCGUUGUCCGGAUUUAUUGGGCGUAAAGAGCUCGUAGGCGGCUUGUCGCGUCGAAUGUGAAAUCUCGGGGCUCAACUCCGAGCUUGCAUUCGAUACGGGCAGGCUAGAGUUCGGUAGGGGAGACUGGAAUUCCUGGUGUAGCGGUGAAAUGCGCAGAUAUCAGGAGGAACACCGAUGGCGAAGGCAGGUCUCUGGGCCACUACUGACGCUGAGAAGCGAAAGCAUGGGGAGCGAACAGG
This 253-nucleotide ribosomal RNA is filed under the name uncultured bacterium. Its description in RNAcentral is "partial 16S ribosomal RNA". It matches the Rfam family "Bacterial small subunit ribosomal RNA", at positions 524 to 776 of the family's 1533-position model. The record is from RNAcentral.